GGUCCAUGAUGAAAUCUUUGACUUAUUCUAGAGAUGUGUUGUCUUAAAAGUCAUGUUCAAUAUAGUUAUGCUUAGGACA
RNAcentral lists this small nucleolar RNA (79 nucleotides) under Carlito syrichta (Philippine tarsier). RNAcentral describes it as "Small nucleolar RNA SNORD115 (ENSTSYG00000024413.2)". Lineage: Eukaryota; Metazoa; Chordata; Mammalia; Primates; Tarsiidae. The record is from RNAcentral.